AGAGUUUGAUCCUGGCUCAGAACGAACGCUGGCGGCGUGCCUAACACAUGCAAGUCGCACGAGAAAUCCUGGGCAACUGGGAAAGUAAAGUGGCGCACGGGUGAGUAACGCGUGGGUAACCUGCCCUUAAAUUGGGGAUAACACCGCGAAAGCGGUGCUAAUACCGAAUGAUAUUUUGAUUCCCUUGGGGAUUGAAAUCAAAGAUGGCCUCUGCAUGCAAGCUAUUGUUUAAGGAUGGGCCCGCGUACCAUUAGCUUGUUGGUGGGGUAAUGGCCUACCAAGGCAACGAUGGUUAGCUGGUCUAAGAGGAUGGUCAGCCACACUGGAACUGAGACACGGUCCAGACUCCUACGGGAGGCAGCAGUGAGGAAUAUUGGGCAAUGCCCGAAAGGGUGACCCAGCAACGCCGCGUGGAGGAUGAAAGCCGUAAGGUUGUAAACUCCUUUUGAAGAGGAAGAACAUUUUCGAUCGAAUCGAAAACUGACUGUACUCUUAGAAGAAGCCCCGGCUAACUACGUACCAGCAGCCGCGGUAAUACGUAGGGGGCAAGCGUUGUCCGGAUUUACUGGGUGUAAAGGGCGCGUAGGCGGGUUUGUAAGUUAGAGGUGAAAUCCUGCAGCUUAACUGUAGAACUGCCUCUGAUACUGCAAAUCUUGAGUUCAGAAGAGAGUAGCGGAAUUCCAGGUGUAGUGGUGAAAUACGUAGAUAUCUGGAAGAACACCAGUGGCGAAGGCGGCUACUUGGUCUGCAACUGACGCUGAGGCGCGAAAGCGUGGGGAUCAAACAGGAUUAGAUACCCUGGUAGUCC
This 808-nucleotide ribosomal RNA is filed under the name uncultured bacterium. Its description in RNAcentral is "bacterial SSU rRNA". It matches the Rfam family "Bacterial small subunit ribosomal RNA", at positions 8 to 796 of the family's 1533-position model. The record is from RNAcentral.